RNAcentral lists this transfer-messenger RNA (358 nucleotides) under Eubacteriales bacterium. It matches the Rfam family "transfer-messenger RNA". Rfam says of the family: Bacterial tmRNA, also known as 10Sa RNA or SsrA, is named for its dual tRNA and mRNA-like properties. Its role is to liberate the mRNA from a stalled ribosome. Lineage: Bacteria; Bacillati; Bacillota; Clostridia; Eubacteriales. The record is from RNAcentral.
GGGGAUGUAACGGUUUCGACGGGGGCGCGGAGGCAGGAAUAGCGGGCGGAUGCGCCUGACAUCCAUAAAACGGGCAAUCUUUAUAAAUUAAAGAACAAACCUUUUACCGUUAGAAACGGUCUUCUCGCAGCUUAAUUGCGAGCGUUCCGCCUGAGAGUACCACGGCUCGGGAUGGGGCGUCGACGAGUGGUGCACGUGAGUGCGCAAAGCUUUGAGCGUGCCAUGAACAAUGAAGCUACCAAGCCGGUGAGUGUGACGGCUCACGCUCCGGCGAGGGAAUGUAAAUAACCGUCUGCGCCCGGAGAGGUUCCUGUUGAUGUACUUUCGGACAGGGGUUCAACUCCCCUCAUCUCCAUUU